GGGUGAUCUCUCUUGUGUCCUCCAGGGCAGCUUGCUUUCCUCACUGCUAUUUGGGGCCAUGGCAAUGAGAUAUGGUUGCAUCAGUGUCCAGGACAUGCAGAUCAGUGGUGGGAGUGCAGCCCUAAGCAUUGGCCACACUUUGCCAGCAGGAGAAGAAAGAGUCAUGUAUUGCUCAGAGCCUCAGCUGCUUGCUUUUGAUCUUCUGGGCUGUCAUUAAGACCUACAUUCACUGCAUUUAACUGUAGGCAUCUACCUGGCAUAUCUCUCAGCUACUCUGAACCCCUUCUCUGGGAUUACAGCCAUGAAGCAGUCUCUGCAGCUGUAAGCCCUGCAUGCUGACACAUGGAUGAUGACAUCCAGAGCCUCCUGGCAUGUGACCAACUCCAGGCCUCACUGUCCAGUUUGUCCAUCCCAGGAAAGAUCAGAAGCACCUAAGCCUGGUUUCCAAUGAGCUAGAGGUGAGAUCAUCCCUGGCACAAACGCCAGAGCAGAGAUCUCCUGCCUUUCUCGAAGCCAUGGCGUCCCAGCCCUACUCUGGCCCACUAAAGGCUGCUCUUUCAAUCUUCCCUCUCCUGAAUGUAUUCCAUCCUGAGUGGAAGGCUGAAGGUAGGAGGUCACCCCUCCAUGUUCCCUCCAGGGCAGACAGCUGAAGAUAGGAGGUCCAUGUCACCCCAGCUCCUAAGCUGCUUGGCUCAACAAUGACUGGCAAGAGACACAGGCGGCUGGUUUUCAAGGCAAAGGACUAACAUCACUUCCUGAGCUUCAUGACAUAAUGCUGAUCCUCACUGCUGGAGCAGCUUUGAGGGUGGUCAUGCUGCUUGGCCACAAAAUCAGCAGCCAAUUUCUUGGCAUUGACUAGUGCUGUUGGCUUCAUUUGGUUAGUAUCAGCAAAGGAUUUCUGCUCAGGGUACAUGGGCUUGAAUCGAACCCAGCCCUUUCACUUGAAGGUUGUUUGCGGCUGUUCCUUGGGUCUGAGCAAAGAACGGGGCUUGAACUUCUCCUUCCCCAAAAGCAAGUGGCUGGCUCUGCGUAACCUCCGUUUCAGCAUUUCUAUGCCCUUGGGAUCCAGGAGAUGCAGAUUUCCUUUGCAGUCCUGCUCCUGACCCGCAGUGUGACUGUAAGAAGUCAUUUCGCAGCUGCCUGCCUUAGUUUCUCCAUGCAGGAUUCCUGUCUCUCACCACUCUCUAGGGGAUGCUGAGCAUGAGGUUUAUCCAGGAACUAAGUUACCUGUAAAAGAGAUCAAAGAAAGGUUCUGGUUA
Molecule: long non-coding RNA, 1259 nt
Organism: Neopsephotus bourkii (Bourke's parrot)
Lineage: Eukaryota; Metazoa; Chordata; Aves; Psittaciformes; Psittacidae
Exons: 3
Source: RefSeq, a predicted model, not a curated record